RNAcentral lists this ribosomal RNA (2903 nucleotides) under Escherichia coli. RNAcentral's name for it is "23S ribosomal RNA". It matches the Rfam family "Bacterial large subunit ribosomal RNA". The record is from RNAcentral. Lineage: Bacteria; Pseudomonadati; Pseudomonadota; Gammaproteobacteria; Enterobacterales; Enterobacteriaceae.
GGUUAAGCGACUAAGCGUACACGGUGGAUGCCCUGGCAGUCAGAGGCGAUGAAGGACGUGCUAAUCUGCGAUAAGCGUCGGUAAGGUGAUAUGAACCGUUAUAACCGGCGAUUUCCGAAUGGGGAAACCCAGUGUGAUUCGUCACACUAUCAUUAACUGAAUCCAUAGGUUAAUGAGGCGAACCGGGGGAACUGAAACAUCUAAGUACCCCGAGGAAAAGAAAUCAACCGAGAUUCCCCCAGUAGCGGCGAGCGAACGGGGAGCAGCCCAGAGCCUGAAUCAGUGUGUGUGUUAGUGGAAGCGUCUGGAAAGGCGUGCGAUACAGGGUGACAGCCCCGUACACAAAAAUGCACAUAUUGUGAGCUCGAUGAGUAGGGCGGGACACGUGGUAUCCUGUCUGAAUAUGGGGGGACCAUCCUCCAAGGCUAAAUACUCCUGACUGACCGAUAGUGAACCAGUACCGUGAGGGAAAGGCGAAAAGAACCCCGGCGAGGGGAGUGAAAAAGAACCUGAAACCGUGUACGUACAAGCAGUGGGAGCACGCUUAGGCGUGUGACUGCGUACCUUUUGUAUAAUGGGUCAGCGACUUAUAUUCUGUAGCAAGGUUAACCGAAUAGGGGAGCCGAAGGGAAACCGAGUCUUAACUGGGCGUUAAGUUGCAGGGUAUAGACCCGAAACCCGGUGAUCUAGCCAUGGGCAGGUUGAAGGUUGGGUAACACUAACUGGAGGACCGAACCGACUAAUGUUGAAAAAUUAGCGGAUGACUUGUGGCUGGGGGUGAAAGGCCAAUCAAACCGGGAGAUAGCUGGUUCUCCCCGAAAGCUAUUUAGGUAGCGCCUCGUGAAUUCAUCUCCGGGGGUAGAGCACUGUUUCGGCAAGGGGGUCAUCCCGACUUACCAACCCGAUGCAAACUGCGAAUACCGGAGAAUGUUAUCACGGGAGACACACGGCGGGUGCUAACGUCCGUCGUGAAGAGGGAAACAACCCAGACCGCCAGCUAAGGUCCCAAAGUCAUGGUUAAGUGGGAAACGAUGUGGGAAGGCCCAGACAGCCAGGAUGUUGGCUUAGAAGCAGCCAUCAUUUAAAGAAAGCGUAAUAGCUCACUGGUCGAGUCGGCCUGCGCGGAAGAUGUAACGGGGCUAAACCAUGCACCGAAGCUGCGGCAGCGACACUAUGUGUUGUUGGGUAGGGGAGCGUUCUGUAAGCCUGUGAAGGUGUACUGUGAGGUAUGCUGGAGGUAUCAGAAGUGCGAAUGCUGACAUAAGUAACGAUAAAGCGGGUGAAAAGCCCGCUCGCCGGAAGACCAAGGGUUCCUGUCCAACGUUAAUCGGGGCAGGGUGAGUCGACCCCUAAGGCGAGGCCGAAAGGCGUAGUCGAUGGGAAACAGGUUAAUAUUCCUGUACUUGGUGUUACUGCGAAGGGGGGACGGAGAAGGCUAUGUUGGCCGGGCGACGGUUGUCCCGGUUUAAGCGUGUAGGCUGGUUUUCCAGGCAAAUCCGGAAAAUCAAGGCUGAGGCGUGAUGACGAGGCACUACGGUGCUGAAGCAACAAAUGCCCUGCUUCCAGGAAAAGCCUCUAAGCAUCAGGUAACAUCAAAUCGUACCCCAAACCGACACAGGUGGUCAGGUAGAGAAUACCAAGGCGCUUGAGAGAACUCGGGUGAAGGAACUAGGCAAAAUGGUGCCGUAACUUCGGGAGAAGGCACGCUGAUAUGUAGGUGAAGUCCCUUGCGGAUGGAGCUGAAAUCAGUCGAAGAUACCAGCUGGCUGCAACUGUUUAUUAAAAACACAGCACUGUGCAAACACGAAAGUGGACGUAUACGGUGUGACGCCUGCCCGGUGCCGGAAGGUUAAUUGAUGGGGUUAGCGCAAGCGAAGCUCUUGAUCGAAGCCCCGGUAAACGGCGGCCGUAACUAUAACGGUCCUAAGGUAGCGAAAUUCCUUGUCGGGUAAGUUCCGACCUGCACGAAUGGCGUAAUGAUGGCCAGGCUGUCUCCACCCGAGACUCAGUGAAAUUGAACUCGCUGUGAAGAUGCAGUGUACCCGCGGCAAGACGGAAAGACCCCGUGAACCUUUACUAUAGCUUGACACUGAACAUUGAGCCUUGAUGUGUAGGAUAGGUGGGAGGCUUUGAAGUGUGGACGCCAGUCUGCAUGGAGCCGACCUUGAAAUACCACCCUUUAAUGUUUGAUGUUCUAACGUUGACCCGUGAUCCGGGUUGCGGACAGUGUCUGGUGGGUAGUUUGACUGGGGCGGUCUCCUCCUAAAGAGUAACGGAGGAGCACGAAGGUUGGCUAAUCCUGGUCGGACAUCAGGAGGUUAGUGCAAUGGCAUAAGCCAGCUUGACUGCGAGCGUGACGGCGCGAGCAGGUGCGAAAGCAGGUCAUAGUGAUCCGGUGGUUCUGAAUGGAAGGGCCAUCGCUCAACGGAUAAAAGGUACUCCGGGGAUAACAGGCUGAUACCGCCCAAGAGUUCAUAUCGACGGCGGUGUUUGGCACCUCGAUGUCGGCUCAUCACAUCCUGGGGCUGAAGUAGGUCCCAAGGGUAUGGCUGUUCGCCAUUUAAAGUGGUACGCGAGCUGGGUUUAGAACGUCGUGAGACAGUUCGGUCCCUAUCUGCCGUGGGCGCUGGAGAAUUGAGGGGGGCUGCUCCUAGUACGAGAGGACCGGAGUGGACGCAUCACUGGUGUUCGGGUUGUCAUGCCAAUGGCACUGCCCGGUAGCUAAAUGCGGAAGAGAUAAGUGCUGAAAGCAUCUAAGCACGAAACUUGCCCCGAGAUGAGUUCUCCCUGACUCCUUGAGAGUCCUGAAGGAACGUUGAAGACGACGACGUUGAUAGGCCGGGUGUGUAAGCGCAGCGAUGCGUUGAGCUAACCGGUACUAAUGAACCGUGAGGCUUAACCUU